UCCUGGCUUAGGAUGAACGCUGGCGGCGUGCCUAACACAUGCAAGUCGAACGGAGAUUAACGCUGAUGAGGCUUCGGCGGAAUCUUGUUAAAUCUUAGUGGCGGACGGGUGAGUAACGCGUGGGCAACCUGCCUCGUACUGGGGGAUAACAGUUGGAAACGACUGUUAAUACCGCAUAAGCGCACGGUACCGCAUGGUACAGUGUGAAAAACUCCGGUGGUACGAGAUGGGCCCGCGUCAGAUUAGCCAGUUGGUGGGGUAACGGCCUACCAAAGCAACGAUCUGUAGCCGGACUGAGAGGUCGGACGGCCACAUUGGGACUGAGACACGGCCCAAACUCCUACGGGAGGCAGCAGUGGGGGAUAUUGCACAAUGGGCGAAAGCCUGAUGCAGCGACGCCGCCGUGAGUGAAGAAGUAUUUCGGUAUGUAAAGCUCUAUCAGCAGGGAAGAAAGACUCGUAAGAGAGAUGACGGUACCUGACUAAGAAGCCCCGGCUAACUACGUGCCAGCCGCCGC
RNAcentral lists this ribosomal RNA (517 nucleotides) under uncultured bacterium. RNAcentral describes it as "bacterial SSU rRNA". It matches the Rfam family "Bacterial small subunit ribosomal RNA", at positions 17 to 518 of the family's 1533-position model. The record is from RNAcentral.